UACGAAGGGGGCUAGCGUUGCUCGGAAUGACUGGGCGUAAAGGGCGCGUAGGCGGCGAUCAAAGUCAGGCGUGAAAUUCCUGGGCUCAACCUGGGGGCUGCGCUUGAUACUUGGUUGCUUGAGUGGGGAAGAGGGUCGUGGAAUUCCCAGUGUAGAGGUGAAAUUCGUAGAUAUUGGGAAGAACACCGGUGGCGAAGGCGGCGACCUGGUCCUUUACUGACGCUGAGGCGCGAAAGCGUGGGGAGCAAACAGG
RNAcentral lists this ribosomal RNA (253 nucleotides) under uncultured bacterium. RNAcentral's name for it is "partial 16S ribosomal RNA". It matches the Rfam family "Bacterial small subunit ribosomal RNA", at positions 524 to 776 of the family's 1533-position model. The record is from RNAcentral.